Molecule: ribosomal RNA, 967 nt
Filed under: Cantharellus citrinus
Lineage: Eukaryota; Fungi; Basidiomycota; Agaricomycetes; Cantharellales; Hydnaceae
Description: partial large subunit ribosomal RNA
Rfam family: Eukaryotic large subunit ribosomal RNA
Source: RNAcentral
CCCCCAGUAACUGCGAGUGAAGAGGGAAGAGCUCAUCAUUGGAAUCUGGCAGCAAUUGUGCUGUCCGAGUUGUAGAUGAGAAGAGUGGGUCAUCUGGACUGCGUGGUGUCCAAGUACAAUAGGCCGUCAGUGGGACAUCAUAGAGGGUGACAAUCCCGUCCUUGACAACCAACGUACGAGUCCAUUACGAUGCCUAUCUCAGAGAGUCGAGCAGUUUGGGAUUUGCUGCUUAAACAUGGGAGGUAGAUUCCUUCUAAAGCUAAAUACAGGCAAGAGACCGAUAGAGAACAAGUACCGCAAGGGAAAGAUGAAAUAGAACUCUGUGAAGGGAGUCAAAAAGACGUGAAAUUGUUGCGAGAGAAGCGAUUCAAGUCAGCGUAGCUAGGCCCAUGAAGCUUUUUGCUUUGGACUAGCUUUGCCAGCGGUCUUGUCUGUAGACUUGACUUUUUGACGUGCCCAGCCCGGUCUAACGGGCAGGCCCCUCUGGGGCCCAGUGGCAUGGCUGGUGGAAUGGCUUGCAAUCGACCCGUCUUGAAACACGGACCAAGGAGUCUAACAUGUGUGCGAGUAUAAGGGUGGCAAACCUGUAUGCGCAAAGAAAGUGAUAGCCUUUAUGGCUGAGAAUGGCCUGAUGACCAGACAAGCAAUAUUAUGUUCCUCGUACGGUCAUUGCCCAAGUCCCAUGGUCAGAUCCCAUGGACAUGGAGUUAGAGCAUACAUGCUAGGACCCGAAAGAUGGUGAACUAUGCCUGGACAAAGCGAAGCCAAAGGAAACUCUGGUGGAGGCUUGUAGCGAUUCUGACGUGCAAAUCGAUCGUCUGAUCUGGGUAUAGGGGCGAAAGACUAAUCGAACCAUCUCAUAGCUGGUUCCUGUCGAAGUUUCUCUCAGAUAGCAGAGACAUUGUGGAAGUUGCAUGUGGUAAAGCGAAUGAUUAUUGACUCUGGGGCUCAAAUGGGCCUCAAUCUA